GCGAGGGUAGCUCAGUUGGUAGAGCACAGCGUUGCCAACGCUGUUGUCGCGGGUUCGAACCCCGUCCCUCGCUCCA
RNAcentral lists this transfer RNA (76 nucleotides) under Candidatus Omnitrophota bacterium. RNAcentral describes it as "Candidatus Omnitrophica bacterium tRNA-Gly". It matches the Rfam family "tRNA". Rfam says of the family: Transfer RNA (tRNA) molecules are approximately 80 nucleotides in length. Their secondary structure includes four short double-helical elements and three loops (D, anti-codon, and T loops). Lineage: Bacteria; Pseudomonadati; Candidatus Omnitrophota. The record is from RNAcentral.